GUGGGGAAUGGUAACAUACUCCUGUAAUCCCAACUGCUUGGGGGCUGAGGCAGGAGAAUCACAAGUUCAGAGUCAGCCUCAGAAACUUUAUGAGGCCCUGAGCAAGUUAGUGAGACCCUGUCUCGA
This 126-nucleotide small RNA is filed under the name Marmota monax (woodchuck). Lineage: Eukaryota; Metazoa; Chordata; Mammalia; Rodentia; Sciuridae. The record is from RNAcentral.